This 297-nucleotide long non-coding RNA is filed under the name Nicotiana benthamiana. RNAcentral's name for it is "long non-coding RNA (NBEN_LNC006797)". Lineage: Eukaryota; Viridiplantae; Streptophyta; Magnoliopsida; Solanales; Solanaceae. The record is from RNAcentral.
UCACUCACUCACUUACACACUUGACUACGGUAGUUUUCGGCAGUCUCCGACAACAAUUAAGUUUCGAUCUUGGGUUAAAUCGUCUAUUAGACUUAACAAGUACUGUAUGUUUACUCAGAGCUUUUUAAUUUUGGACAAAUCCUAAAUUUUUACUUUUUUUCAUUUCUUAGAAUUGUGAUUUGGGGUUUGUAGAGGGACGCGUACAUGUGCAUUUACAAAUUUCGAUUUGGUGUGGGUGAUAUAUUUCCUUGUUCAACUACCUUUGAGCUCUGUAAUUUAAAUUAUUGUCAGUCUGGC